Molecule: non-coding RNA, 156 nt
Organism: Mesocricetus auratus (golden hamster)
Lineage: Eukaryota; Metazoa; Chordata; Mammalia; Rodentia; Cricetidae
Source: Rfam
GACCUUACCUGGCAGGGGAAAUACCAUGAUCAUGAAGGUGGUUUUCCCAGGGAGAGGCUUAUCCAUUGCACUCCGGAUGUGCUGAUCCUGCGAUUUCCCCAAAUGUGGGAAACUCGACUAAUAAAUUUAAUAAGCAAUUCUGAUUUGUAGUGUUUG